Molecule: long non-coding RNA, 490 nt
Filed under: Gallus gallus (chicken)
Lineage: Eukaryota; Metazoa; Chordata; Aves; Galliformes; Phasianidae
Description: lncRNA (ENSGALG00010004259.1)
Source: RNAcentral
UUAUAAUAUGUCCAAACUUAAACCUACAGCUCUACAAGUGAAAGAGUGCAGAUAUGGCAUGGCUGUAGCUUGCAGCUGGGAUAGUGGAGGGGUUCGUAGUUUUACAGUGGGUCCUAUUCAGUGGUGUUAAGGAUAUGAAUCCCAGGUACUUGCAGUGUUCAUCACUGAUGAAAUUAAAUAUAAAGUGAUUGCUUCUUGAUGGAGACGCUUGAAAGCAUCCAACUUUUAGGAUGGUGCUGGAAUUUGACUUAAAAUGUAAAGGUUAAUUAUGAAGUUGCUAGAGUCUUCUACACAAUGGCAUAUAGAAGUAUGAAGAGAUGCAUUUCUUGGGGAAUCCCGUCUUUGAGAGUGUUGAAAUACUUCUUGCUUUUGUCCUUUGGAUGAUGUUUUUAACAUUCUGGAGAGUUUUCUGCUGGAAUGGACCUGAGACAAGUCUGAGGCGUGAGGCUGGAAGUCCACCCAGCUCUAGGCCUGCCGGUCAGCAUGGCUU